RNAcentral lists this transfer RNA (73 nucleotides) under Actinobaculum massiliense ACS-171-V-Col2. It matches the Rfam family "tRNA". From Rfam's summary of the family: Transfer RNA (tRNA) molecules are approximately 80 nucleotides in length. Their secondary structure includes four short double-helical elements and three loops (D, anti-codon, and T loops). The record is from Rfam by way of RNAcentral. Lineage: Bacteria; Bacillati; Actinomycetota; Actinomycetes; Actinomycetales; Actinomycetaceae.
GGGCCUCUAGCUCCAAUGGUAGAGCACUGGACUUUUAAUCCAUGGGUUGUGGGUUCGAAUCCCACGGGGCCUA